RNAcentral lists this long non-coding RNA (3049 nucleotides) under Salmo salar (Atlantic salmon). RNAcentral's name for it is "lncRNA (ENSSSAG00000099447.1)". Lineage: Eukaryota; Metazoa; Chordata; Actinopteri; Salmoniformes; Salmonidae. The record is from RNAcentral.
UUAAAAUAAUGUCUGUGAGUAUAACAAAACUGAUAAGGCAGGCGAAAACCCGAGGAAAAUCCAUCCAGGAAGUACUAUUAUUUUGAAAGGCUGUUUUUCCAUUGAAAGCCUAUCCACCAUACAAAGACUUAGGACCCAAUUCACGAUCUCUAUGUCUUCUUCUACAUGUGGCCAGUCUUUAGGCGUUGUUUCAGGCUUUUACUCUGAAAAAUGAGGGAGAUACAGCACUUUCAAUGAGUGGACAGUGGAAAUUUCCAGACAUGAGCCCAGCACGUGAUUGGGAGCGGGCAUUUGUUGUUUCUCCUUUUCUAUUGACGAAGCUUUUGUCCGGAUGAAAUAUUAUUGAUUAUUUAUGACAAAAACAACCUGAGGAUUGAUUUUAAACAUCGUUUGACAUGUUUCUAUGAACUUUUAUUGUACUUUUUUUCCUUUCGUCUUUGUACCUUUGGAUUACUGAACUAAACACACCAACAAAACUGAGGUUUUUGGACAUAAAGAGGGACAUUAUCAAACAGAACUAACAUUUAUUGUGUAACAUGGAGCCCUGGGAGUGCCACCAGAUGAAGAUCAUUAAAGGUAAGUGAUUCAUUUAAUCGCUAUUUCUGACUUUUGUGAGUCCUCCUUGGCUGGAAAAUGUCUGUAUGGUGUUUUGUGGCUACGUGCUGUCCUAACAUAAUCGCAUGGUGUAAUUUCGCUGUAAAGCCUUUUUGAAAUCUGACACAGUGGCUGGAUUAACAAGACAUUUAUCUUUAAUCCUAUGUAUAACACUUGUAUCUUGCAUCAAUUUUUAUGAUGAGUAUUUCUGUAAUUAGAUUUGGCUCUCUGCAAUUCCACCGGAUGUUAUUUGAGACAAUGCAUUACUGACCAUAACGCGCCAAUUGAAGUCGAACACUGUGGUUGGAUUAACAAGAAGAUUAUCUUUAAAAUGGUGUAUAAUGGUGUACAAUACUUUUAAUUAUGGGAUUUCUGUUGUUUGAAUUUGGCGCCCUGCAAUUUCACUGGCUGUCGUCGAGGUGGGACGCUAGCGUCCCAAUGAUACCAGAGAGGUUAAAGUCCCCAGGCUACUAGGAGCCUGCCUCUGGGCCACCCGACGCCAGAGCUCCAAAGACACUGCUGCUGCUGAUUUCUUGCCUCUAGCAGAGAGCUACCUGGCCGACUACAGUGACAAACACACACUCUCUAUCAAACUCAAGACUGACAAACUCACGCUCUCUAUCCCACUUUGCCCGCGCUGCCGCAAGGAGGGAUCCCCAGCUCAGCUCAUCAAACAUAAUUAUUUUCAGUUGUGUGAAAUAUGUGACAUUUUUAUUUCACGUGUGAAAUUAUAUUGAUAUCUAAUGUUUGCAGUGAAUAUUAGAGCAAUUCUUGAAUGUGAGCAUCUUAGUGUAUCCUGGAGUUGGUAUAUUAAACUACCUGCCACUGGGUUAGGCAUCCUCACAUAAAAAACGAUUGCCCUUCCUAUUUCUGGGCAAUGAUUGCUCUGUUCAGUCCUUUAUCAUUGAUGACCUUGGAGGACACCAGAAAGAUGAUAGCCUUUUGAUUUUAAGUUGUAUAUGAUGAUUACAAUAACAACCAGUCUGGUUAUACAAGGCAAUUGACUGAUUUAUUGGGACAAGGCUUGAAUUAUUAAUAGACAUCUCAUUAUUAAUUUGUUUUGGGUAUCAGAAGAUACGUCCAACACAAGCCAUGAAUAGCUUACUUUGAUAUAUGGCUGACUAACUUUAGUUUUCGUAUGUAUUGUUGUGAUUGCGUUGACAGACAAUAUCAAAAAAGUGUUUAUGGACAUAUUCAACCUCUCUUUAUCCCAGUCUGCUGUCCCCACAUGCUUCAAGAUGGCUACCAUUGAUCCUGUACCCGAGAAAGCGAAGGUAACUGAAUUAAAUGACUAUCACCCCGUAGCACUCACUUCUGUCAUCAUGAAGUGCUUUGAGAGACUAGUCAAGGAUUAUAUCACCUCUACCUUACCUGACACCCUAGACCCACUUCGAUUUGCUUCCCGCCCCAAUAGAUCCACAAACGAUGCAAUCGCCAUCACACUGCACACUGCCCUAUCCCACCUUAACAAGAGGAAUACCUAUGUAAGAAUGCUGUUCAUUGACUAUAGCUUAGCAUUCAACACCAUAGUACCCUCCAAGCUCAUCAUUAAGCUCGAGGCCCUGGGUCUGAACUCCGCCCUGUGCAACUGGAUCCUGGAUUUAAAAUGUAUGUAAAAUCUCAGAAAUAUUCUAUAUUAAACUCCGAAAUAGACAUAUGUGUCAGUGGGCUCAUCAUUUAAAUAAAAAAUUGCUUUCAAUUCUGAAUUUUAACAUAAAUCUAAUCUUCCUGGGAUUGUCCUUAACAUUUCAGACUGAGCUCAGAAAACAUUACAUUUAUAUUUAUUCAUCUUUGCUAUUUUAUUUAACAAAUAUUGUCAUGUGACGGGGUUGAGACUAGGGUGAUAGGGUUGAAUACUGUAACGGGGUUGAGACUAGGGUGAUAGGGUUGAAUACUGUAACGGGGUUGAGACUAGGGUGAUAGGGUUGAAUACUGUAACGGGGUUGAGACUAGGGUUAUAGGGUUGAAUACUGUAACGGGGUUGAGACUAGGGUGAUAGGGUUGAAUACUGUAACGGGGUUGAGACUAGGGUGAUAGGGUUGAAUACUGUAACGGGGUUGAGACUAGGGUGAUAGGGUUGAAUACUGUAAUGGGGUUGAGACUAGGGUGAUAGGGUUGAAUACUGUAACGGGUUGAGACUAGGGUGAUAGGGUUGAAUACUGUAACGGGGUUGAAGAGACACAUCGGUUUCCAUAUAAACUACUUUAGUUUACUGUCAAAAUCCCUCCGAGAUUUACCCCAAAACAUUGCAUUUCAUUGUAUGCAACCAUGUAAUAAGGACAUUAGAUAUAUUUAGAAUAAUCUGGGUUUUAUUAACCAAACUGCAGUAAAUAUCGAAACAAAUAAAAACACAUCAGGCAUUAGGGUAAUUAAUAACAUUCAACAGGUUUCAUCAGAAAAGUUAAUUGUGUCAUCAAACUGUAGAAACAUUUUCCGAGGGUAUUUAGAAUGCGAU